GUGCUCACUUCGGCAGCAUAUACACUAAAAUUGGAAUGAUAUAGAGAUUAUCAUGGCCCCUGCACACGGAUGACAUGCAAAUUCAUGAAGUGUUCCAUACUUUU
This is a small nuclear RNA of Suricata suricatta (meerkat), 104 nucleotides long. Lineage: Eukaryota; Metazoa; Chordata; Mammalia; Carnivora; Herpestidae. The record is from Ensembl.